This 254-nucleotide ribosomal RNA is filed under the name uncultured bacterium. Its description in RNAcentral is "partial 16S ribosomal RNA". It matches the Rfam family "Bacterial small subunit ribosomal RNA", at positions 524 to 776 of the family's 1533-position model. The record is from RNAcentral.
UACGGAGGGGGCUAGCGUUGUUCGGAAUUACUGGGCGUAAAGCGCGCGUAGGCGGCUUUGUAAGUUAGAGGUGAAAGCCCAGGGCUCAACCCUGGAAUUGCCUUUAAGACUGCAUCGCUUGAACAUCGGAGAGGUAAGUGGAAUUCCGAGUGUAGAGGUGAAAUUCGUAGAUAUUCGGAAGAAACACCAGUGGCGAAGGCGGCUACCUGGACAAUUGCUGACGCUCAGGCACGAAAGCGUGGGGAGCAAAAGGG